Molecule: ribosomal RNA, 254 nt
Filed under: uncultured bacterium
Lineage: Bacteria
Description: partial 16S ribosomal RNA
Rfam family: Bacterial small subunit ribosomal RNA
Source: RNAcentral
UACGAAGGGGGCUAGCGUUGUUCGGAAUCACUGGGCGUAAAGCGCACGCAGGCGGAUCGUUAAGUCAGGGGUGAAAUGCCGAGGCUCAACCUCGGAACUGCCUUUGAUACUGGCGAUCUUAGAGUCCGGGAGAGGUGAGUGGAACUCCGAGUGUAGAGGUGAAAUUCGUAGAUAUUCGGAAGGACACCAGUGGCGAAGGCGGCUCACUGGCCCGGUACUGACGCUCAGGUGCGAAAGCGUGGGGAGCAAACAGG